RNAcentral lists this long non-coding RNA (208 nucleotides) under Vigna radiata. RNAcentral describes it as "long non-coding RNA (VRAD_LNC009395)". The record is from RNAcentral. Lineage: Eukaryota; Viridiplantae; Streptophyta; Magnoliopsida; Fabales; Fabaceae.
UUCAUCCCUCAUUCAACUUCCUUCUCCUUUUCUUUAGUUCAAAAAUAAGUCACAUAUGAUUAGGAAAGCAAAAAGUUCACAAAUACAACAAAUCUGUCCAAAACAGGAUUUCGUGUAUACUUUUCCGUUCUUUUGUUUUAUGCUUUCGUCUAUUUCUAUUGCCUACCUUCAUCGCAUUCCUUUUCAGCCGCUCCUUCCUCACGCUCAC